AUGGUGAAGCGAUGUGCCUAUGGCGUAUGUAAAUCGGACAGUAGGUACCCCAAGAGUUUGGCUGGGGGAGUCGUGUUCUUUCCUUUUCCAAAGCCGAAAACACAACAGGAGCGGUGCCUACGAUGGAUCAAACAGUGUGGAAGGCCCCACUCCCAGCUAAAUGUCACGAAAAUAAACAAGCAUGCAUACGUCUGCUCCAAGCAUUUUGUGAAUGGACAGCCUACCCCUGAGUAUCCCGACCCUGUACUUGCUGUACAAGUGUCGAACCAGACUAGGGAGCAGCUCGGAGGCUGUCGAAAGCCACCCCAAAAACGAUGCAGAUUAAGUGUGCAGGAUGCCUCUGGCUCCACCUCCAGCACUGAUGAUGCAGACGAGACUCAACAGUAUAUUGUUGACAGUGAGAGUACUGAGCAACCCCCACUUCCUGGAUGGCAGUGUAGCAGGGUUAAUGCUUCCCACUUGCAUUAAGGCAUCCAGCAGAUCUCCAUUAGAGUCUGGGAGUCGCGAGAUCCAAGAAACAGUCCUAUCCUCUGAAUCACAAUCAGGCAGGACGGUAGAACCCACAACACCAUCCGGAAAGGAAUCAUCUGUAGCAAAGUCACUCACACAGGAACCGUAAUUUUCGGACCCAGGUGGGAUAGGCAAGAAAUUGACAGGCAUUAUCAAAUUUCUAUGGACCACCUUCUCUCGAUCCGUUGUACAGUUCUUGAUCCUGAAGGUGUGUGUGUUUUCGUGUUUCUCCACAACAGUGUGCAGGUGACUGUCCCAGCGAUCAGCCAACUUUCUCUUCCCACGCUCUCCUUUGUUGGCUAAAAGAACCCUGUCCCCAACUUCCACAGCCGCGCCCCUGAACUUCCUGUUGUAUAAGGCAGCUUGUCUCUGCUGCUGUUUAGCAGAGGAGGUCUGAGCGAUUUUUAUGGCCUCUGCCAGAUCAUGCCUGAGACCCUGCACAUAGGCGUCAUAAUCCACCAGCUGAUCAUCCUGAAGGACAGACCCAAACAACAGGUCGACUGGCAGCCUGGGUGUCCGCCCAAACAUCAGCUGAAAUGGAGCAAACCCUGUGGUCUCGUGCACUGUAGCAUUAUAGGCGAAGGUGAGAGAUUUCAGAUGCUGCGGCCACCUAUGCUUGGCCUUGGGCGGCAAGGCUCUUAUCAUUCCCCCAAGGGUGCGAUUGAAUCUCUCAACAGCUCCAUUGCCCAUGGAGUGGUACGGGGUGGUGUGCGAUUUCUGGACACCAGCAGCAAUGAGCAUCUCGGCUAUAAGACUGCUUUCGAAGUUGGCCCCCCGGUCCGAAUGUAUGCGCUCAGGAAAGCCGUACACACAGAAGAAGUUGUUCCAAAGUUGAUUUGCAACAGCUUUUGCUGACUGGUUUGGACAGAGGUAUGCCUGAGCCAGUUUGGUAAAAUGGUCGGUAACCACAAGCACAUCAAGUGACUUGUUAGAAGAAUCCUCAGCCGACCAAAAGUCAAUACAAACCAACUCGAGAGGCCUAGAUGUCACUAUGCUCUCGAGUGGCGCCCUGCCCUCCGGCUCUGGAGACUUGCUAAAUACACAGCGGCGACAACACCGCACGUAUUCCUUCACGUCUCUCUCCAUGCCUUGCCAGUAGAAUCUCUGUCUAGAGAGGUAGAGCGUUCGUCUUUGGCCUUGGUGACCAGCUUCAUCAUGCACACCUCUGAGGACCUCUUCCCUCAGUACCAAGGGCACAACAUACUGGUACGUCUUCCGCUGUGUGACAACAUCCUUCGAAACACGAUAG
Molecule: long non-coding RNA, 1759 nt
Filed under: Gadus morhua (Atlantic cod)
Lineage: Eukaryota; Metazoa; Chordata; Actinopteri; Gadiformes; Gadidae
Description: lncRNA (ENSGMOG00000028851.1)
Source: RNAcentral